RNAcentral lists this ribosomal RNA (467 nucleotides) under uncultured bacterium. RNAcentral's name for it is "partial 16S ribosomal RNA". It matches the Rfam family "Bacterial small subunit ribosomal RNA", at positions 28 to 506 of the family's 1533-position model. The record is from RNAcentral.
GACGAACGCUGGCGGCGUGCUUAACACAUGCAAGUCGAACGGAAAGGCCCUGCUUUUGUGGGGUGCUCGAGUGGCGAACGGGUGAGUAACACGUGAGUAACCUGCCCUUGACUUUGGGAUAACUUCAGGAAACUGGGGCUAAUACCGGAUAGGAGCUCCUGCUGCAUGGUGGGGGUUGGAAAGUUUCGGCGGUUGGGGAUGGACUCGCGGCUUAUCAGCUUGUUGGUGGGGUAGUGGCUUACCAAGGCUUUGACGGGUAGCCGGCCUGAGAGGGUGACCGGCCACAUGGGGACUGGGAUACGGCCCAGACUCCAACGGGGGGCAGGGGUGGGGAAUAUUGCACAAGGGGCGGAGGCCUGAUGCAGCAACGCCGGGGGGGGGAGGACGGCCUUCGGGUUGUAAACCCCUUUCGCCUGGAACGAAGCGGGGGGGCGGGAAAUGGGGAAAGAAGCACCGGCUAACUCCGG